AGAGUUUGAUCCUGGCUCAGGAUGAACGCUAGCGGGAGGCCUAACACAUGCAAGCCGAGCGGUAUUUGUUCUUCGGAACAGAGAGAGCGGCGUACGGGUGCGGAACACGUGUGCAACCUGCCUUUAUCUGGGAGAUAGCCUUUCGAAAGGAAGAUUAAUAUCCCAUAAUAUAUUAAGUGGCAUCACUUGAUAUUGAAAGCUCCGGCGGAUAGAGAUGGGCACGCGCAAGAUUAGAUAGUUGGUGAGGUAACGGCUCACCAAGUCAGUGAUCUUUAGGGGGCCUGAGAGGGUGAUCCCCCACACUGGUACUGAGACACGGACCAGACUCCUACGGGAGGCAGCAGUGAGGAAUAUUGGACAAUGGGUGAAAGCCUGAUCCAGCCAUCCCGCGUGAAGGACGACGGCCCUAUGGGUUGUAAACUUCUUUUGUAUAGGGAUAAACCUUUCCACGUGUGGAAAGCUGAAGGUACUAUACGAAUAAGCACCGGCUAACUCCGUGCCAGCAGCCGCGGUAAUACGGAGGGUGCAAGCGUUAUCCGGAUUUAUUGGGUUUAAAGGGUCCGUAGGCGGAUCUGUAAGUCAGUGGUGAAAUCUCACAGCUUAACUGUGAAACUGCCAUUGAUACUGCAGGUCUUGAGUAAGGUAGAAGUGGCUGGAAUAAGUAGCGUAGCGGUGAAAUGCAUAGAUAUUACUUAGAACACCAAUUGCGAAGGCAGGUCACUAUGUCUUAACUGACGCUGAUGGACGAAAGCGUGGGGAGCGAACAGGAUUAGAUACCCUGGUAGUCCACGCCGUAAACGAUGCUAACUCGUUUUUGGGUUUUCGGAUUCAGAGACUAAGCGAAAGUGAUAAGUUAGCCACCUGGGGAGUACGUUCGCAAGAAUGAAACUCAAAGGAAUUGACGGGGGCCCGCACAAGCG
This 920-nucleotide ribosomal RNA is filed under the name uncultured Bacteroidota bacterium. Its description in RNAcentral is "bacterial SSU rRNA". It matches the Rfam family "Bacterial small subunit ribosomal RNA", at positions 8 to 931 of the family's 1533-position model. The record is from RNAcentral. Lineage: Bacteria; Pseudomonadati; Bacteroidota.